AGGGCUAGCAAGUGCCCGGGAAAAUGGUGCCGCGCGGGGAACAACCGUGGGCAGCCGCUCAGCGCCACCCUUACCGGUAACCACGUGUGGAGUGGAGCCUCCGGCAGGAGGUAAAUAAGAAGUCCUGUCAGUGCCUCAUUAUCCUGGGAAGCAGUGGUAGCAGAACAUUGUAGGCCCCUUUUGAAGUUUGAUGUGGCUGUGCUGCUUCAUUUGAUCAACAAAAUGGGAGUGGAAGUGAUGAGAUCAGGGAUACAGUCAGCCAUGCACUGCCUUCCCGUUCCCCAACUUGGUAAUUAUGAAAGUGUGUUCUGUGACGGAGCCUCCAGCAUCCUGCUUUCCUGUGUGACUAUGAACAGAGCCCUGUUGUGGCCCAAAUUAAGCAGGAAUAAGAAGUAAACCUCUUCUUUGUCUGUUUAUAAGAAAUAUCUUCCUUCUCUGAGGUUAAAAAAAAUUAUACAUUUUUGAUAAUAGUUUUAGAGGUUUAUUUUUCAAAUAUAGGUUUUUAAUUUCUUUGUGAUUACUUUUAUAGACUGUGCAAUUCCUUUUUCUUUUUGUUUUUGCAGAUGGAGAGCCAGUCAUCCCAACACUAUUCAUUGACUCAUCUUGUAAUAGGGAAGAACAAAUCUGACUCCAUGUUGGAUCUGUUUCUUUUACUUUAACCUUCUAUUCUGUUGCCUUUGCUACAAGUUCAGAAUGUUGCCUAUAGCCUGAAAU
Non-coding RNA from Vicugna pacos (alpaca), 714 nucleotides. The record is from RefSeq and is a predicted model, not a curated record. Lineage: Eukaryota; Metazoa; Chordata; Mammalia; Artiodactyla; Camelidae.